Molecule: ribosomal RNA, 118 nt
Filed under: Lepisosteus oculatus (spotted gar)
Lineage: Eukaryota; Metazoa; Chordata; Actinopteri; Semionotiformes; Lepisosteidae
Source: RNAcentral
UCCAGCAGCCAUGUCACCCAGCAACUUACAAUUGGCAGCCCACUGAAGCUAAGCAGGUGUGAGCCUGGUCAGUACCUGGAUGGGAGACCUCCUGGGAAAACUAAGUUUGCUGCCGAAA